Long non-coding RNA from Clupea harengus (Atlantic herring), 3403 nucleotides. RefSeq lists it as uncharacterized. NCBI's taxonomy places the organism in Eukaryota, Metazoa, Chordata, Actinopteri, Clupeiformes, Clupeidae. The record is from RefSeq and is a predicted model, not a curated record.
UCCUUGAAAAUAUGCACCAUAUAAGUUUAUUUUCAUUGCUGCAAUGAUACAAUACGUUGAGACAAAGUGUGCGUGACCGAGAAAGUCAAGCACCUCGAUUUUGAGACAGGCCUAUGUUAUUAUGAUAAGCCUUUAUAACACUACGACUUUAUAACAUGAGCCACAUUUCUUCAUGGGCAGUAUAUUGGUUCGACCAAUUGGUUCAAACAGACCCCUGGAUAAAUUGUGUCAUCUACAUAUUUUCUACUUCAAUGCCUUUUCAUAAAUUAGUAAAACACACAGAAUAAUAAAUUAUCAUUUAGAUUUUGUUUUUGUCACACCGACGUCCUGUCUGUUAAUUAGGUGAAAUAAGUAGGCUAUAAAGCACGACCUGCAAACUGAAGAAACAGCCCACAUUGUCUACUGAAUUUGAAACAUUGCUAACCGAAUGUACGCCCAAAAAGGUAAAGAACCACUCUUGUAUCACACAUAACUACAAUGUGUCUAACAUUGAGACCUGAAAAACCGAAACAAAUGCUGCAUUUAGCAUAUUUAACUGUGACCAAUUAAUUAAUUAAUUCACUUACAUGAAUAUAAACUAUUUGGAACAAAAUACAGGUGUUUGUCUAAAUUAUAUAGAGAUUAUAAUACCCAUAAACAUGGAGUAUUCGGGAAAUGUAUUCGUGUUCAGUAACAGUGCUUACUCUUUAUGACUUCAGCCUUAAAUGUACCAGGGUGAAACUUGUAAAGGAGUAUAUUGCUGCACUUUAUGGUACCCGCACACGCCCUCUUGUAGACUCCUUGUUGAAAUCAGCAGGAUGCGUAUCUGUCAUCGAUUUAAUAUGUCUUAAUUCUGAGACGCCUUUGUAAUCGAUUUAUGAUAUUUGGGUUGGGUAUGGAAGUGCUUUGGCAAAGUUUACAGGAAUUGAAAAUUACCAUGAAUAGGUUGAAUGUUGAAUGUCCCCUCUGAAAAUCCAUUUGAAAAUCCAUUUACAGUUAUAACUACGGGCAUAGUGAAUAGAUAUAUUACUGAAGAUGGUCAAAAUGUUUGUAAUAGGCUAUUUUUCAUCCCAGAAAACAACUAAAUGCUAAUUUCAAAAAUGAUAUUGACAGUAUAUUUUUUAUUUAUGUACAAUUGACACCCUUCUUUUAAAGAUUAGUUGGUUAGCUGACUCCUGUGUCUAUCUUUUUGUCUCGGAAACUCCUCAAAUAAUUAUCCAUCAUAAUAUACUUCUAAUACAGACUCUUUGUGAUUAACCAUUUUAAGACAUGUCUGGGAUCAUAUCAUUUUUAUUAGUAUUAUUGAGUUUGUAGGCCUAUACAGGAUUUCUGCGCCUUGCACCUGUAGCUUAAACAGAAUAGGUGUCCUCUCUCUGGAUGCUUUCUAGUUGUUUUCAUCCCUUAAAAGCAUUUAAAAUUAAUGCCUAUUCCUACAAAGAAACAAGUGUAAUCAGUAUGCUGGUGCCUUCCCUAUAUGAGCUAGGCAUAGCCAUCCAUCUACCCCAUGUUCAUCAUUGUUGCAGUUCCUCACCAUGGUAAUAUCCAGUGGGAAAUUCAACCAGUUUCUACCCUUUGAGGAGAACGUAAAACAUUUUCUUCUUCGGCACCAUGUCUUAUGUUUAAUUACACGAUAGCCUACUUAAUCAACCAAUUAAGGUCUAGACCUAAUAAACAAAAUGUAGGUAAGUUAUGGAAUGACCCACAUCUCUGGCUAUGUGAUAACUAUUCACCAGUGCAUGCUGACAGAAUGACAAACAGUUCGAAAAAAAACGUGUAGCCAGUGAAGACUUCACAUUAAUGCCUCCUCACCAGAAAACUGAGACAGCUGAGAAGAACGGAAUGUUUCGAAAUCAUCGUUUUUCAUGUGUAUGUCUCCAGUCAACUCAACUGCUAAAAUCUGCUAUAUUUGAGAAUUACACAAUUUCCACUUUAAAAUGCUGUUUCUAAAAACUUUCUUUUGAGCAAAACGCCUUUGUUUUAACAGAGGUAUAUUUUACGCAACCAGUUCCAAGGGCAGCGUAUGUGGUCUUCCCGGGUCAGAGGUCAAACGUCCUUGAAACACUCAAGGUCAUUUGAGCUAACCAACAAUGCGAAAACAUAUGGAUGGUGUCAACUCUAUCCACAUAUAUAGAAAGGCCAGCUAUAUGCCCACUGGGUAAUGGGAAACCCUUGUUGUAUUUCUGUGACUUUAAUACAGACAGUAAGACGUUCACUCAGGAUAAAAAAUUGUGUAUCUGGCUAUUGGAAACAGCGUCAAUUUCACAAGUGUUUUUUUUCCCUGUCAAUUAAAUAACUCAGACUUCAGAAUCACCAAUGUCUAUAUGGCAAAUAUGUACUUCAACGCACCGUCUAUUAUUAUCCGUUCAGUUUUAUAUUUAAUCACUGGUAGUAAAGUAGGCUACUGUUAGUAAAACUUAUAAUAUUUUUAGUUUUGUUUCUCCAUGGUGCAAAUCAGAAUGUGUGUCUACCUCUACCCACAGGCCUAUUGUGGGCUAUUCGGGUUUUUUUCUUUUCUUUUUCUUUUUAAUUUCUUUUUUCUUCUUUGUCCAAAGUGGCGGGGGAAUGGUUUUUUGUGGUUUUCCACAGAAAUAAAGAACUUCUUAGAGGGGUCGGCAGACGCGACUUUGAACUUGGAUCAGCUCCUGUGUUCCUGUGGAGAGGGUAGAAAUAGUCUUGGAAGAAUGGUACACAACGUUCAAGCUGCAUGGCUUUGAGCAGAGCCAGACAGAAUUCCCAAGUUUUAUACGUCUUCCGCCCUAUUAUUCACUGCUCCGAAUGUUUGGAAGCAAAGGGAAGACGAAAGUAGCGUUGGUGUAUGUUGGGACGGCAAGCUUGUGAAACUCGAGUUCAAUGACAAUGUGGGCCUAUACUGUGGGGUUCUUGCUACUUGCCAUAGGCCUUACCCACCCACCAGGGCAACUAAUAAGAAGGCUGAUUGAGCCAGGAGAUCAGAAUACGACUCAUGAAGAGGUCAGUAUGCCAGUCCCAAAUAACAUGAGCCAAAUCUCAUGGCAUCCCACUGACGGCUGAAACAUUUUAAAACCUAACCAAUUUUGCGUGAGAUGCUCAGCCUUUCCGUCUCACACAUGCGUAGAUAUAUCAAACACAUCUAUGCUCCUGCUUACCCAAAAAUAACAGCAGUCAACCCCCAGCCCCCCCACGCCCCCUCCCACCUCCACCCCCUCAAAAAAACAGACACACAUCCUCUGUGCGUGGCGUCACAGCCCAGCAACAGCAGUCCAUCAUUUAAAAGCUAAGAGCAGCAGAAAGCAGCACAGCCGAGUGGGAAGGGAGCCCACUGCGAGAGGGAGGCAGGCAGGCAGCGGGAGAGGAGGCAGAGGCAGAGGCACUGGAGCUGGGGCUGGCCUCGCCUGGCUGCCUCACACACUCAAACACAACCACACACACACACACACACACACAC